Molecule: long non-coding RNA, 1416 nt
Organism: Pavo cristatus (Indian peafowl)
Lineage: Eukaryota; Metazoa; Chordata; Aves; Galliformes; Phasianidae
Source: Ensembl
UAUAUUGCAUAUAUAUAAUGCAGUGGAAGUGUCAUAUAUAUAUAUAUAUAUAUAUAUNUUUUCAUUUUGAACAAUGCUUCCUAAAGCCAUAAAAGGAGAGCCACGAAGGAGAAGUGUGAAAGGCAGAUGGACACAAAGCAUAGAGGAACUGGAAAAAACGGACAAAGACCAAAACAACAGUGUGCAUAAUGGCCAACCAAAUCUUCAGUAAGACUUUACAACCAUCUUUACAACCUAAUCCAAAAUGACUUCCCUCAGAGAUAGGUAUUUCAGGGGAAAGGUGCUUUGCAUGAAAGAAGCAGUGCCUGGGGAAAGAAACAAUGUAAGAUGAGGCUUGAACAAGAGGACGGUGCUUGAAUACAGCAUGACUGAAAACAGCUGUUGACAUGAGGUCUGGAACUGCCCUUCACCACUCAGUUCACUGGCUUGCAGUGAAGUGAGCAUAAAGGAGAGAUGGGGAGCUUGGCUGUAGCCUCACUGACUUUUAUUUGACAUAGAAAGCGAACAUGGGACAAGAGUAUUAGCAUGAGGAUAACUGAACAAAUGGUAUUAUAUUCCUGAUAAAGCCAGAAGCGAAAUGGAUACUUUCAGAAGUGUAAUCAGAGAUGAUUGGAUUGACAAUGCAGGACAUUUAUGUCAUUAAUAAGAAUAGUACUGUUUUUUUUUGCUGGACUAUUCUUCUAAGUGCUUUCCAAAACCACAGAGACAUCAUAUGCUGAUUUUCUUGGCAGAAAUCAAAGCUCUCCGUUCUUCCUCAUACAUGUAAGAUGUAAUAAUGUUGAUAGUAUUACCUAUUCAGUGGUUUUCUCAGUUCUGCUUUUAUUACUUAGCCUGGUUUUAAGGACAAGGAAUAGCAAACAUUCAAGAAUCAACAAAAGGGUAAAACAGGUCUACUAUUGAUAUCAGAACAAUUAGGGGACAAGUUCAAUGAAAAAUUUUACACUGAUAUAUGACGGUAUAGAUGAUUUUCAAAGUCUACUACAUUAUUUAGUAGGAUGAGUCUGAAACAGCAACAUAGUGUGCAACACUGACAGCAUAGCCCUACUGUACUAUAUAACAGCAUACUGCAUUAGAAUUAUGAAAUUUACUGUGAAACUGAGUUAUGUUCCAGAUUAGGAAAUUGUGAGACCACAACCUCUAUUCUCAUCAAAAAGAUGUUUAAGUUAGAAAUUAGAAAAGCUACUUAACAGUUUAUGUAAAGAAGGAGCAUGGUGAGUACGGACAGCAAGCACAACUGUCACUAGGACAGUUGGUUUAAUAGAGGGAAAUGCUAAUGGCUUUUUGGCCAGCCUUGUGUCCAUUGGUCUGUGUAAGAGGGGGAGAGAAGGUUUUGCCUAUGAGAGUUUCAACUUGUGCCUUGUUGAGAGGAGGAGAAACAUCAACUCUUGAUUAACAGAGAACCAGACAGUCCUGGAG